Molecule: signal recognition particle RNA, 92 nt
Filed under: Candidatus Lambdaproteobacteria bacterium RIFOXYC1_FULL_56_13
Lineage: Bacteria; Pseudomonadati; Pseudomonadota; Candidatus Lambdaproteobacteria
Also listed under: 2 other names
Description: signal recognition particle sRNA small type
Rfam family: Bacterial small signal recognition particle RNA
About the family: The signal recognition particle (SRP) is a universally conserved ribonucleoprotein involved in the co-translational targeting of proteins to membranes. Archaeal SRP consists of a 7S RNA and homologues of the eukaryotic SRP19 and SRP54 proteins. In most bacteria, the SRP consists of a 4.5S RNA and the Ffh protein (a homologue of the eukaryotic SRP54 protein).
Source: RNAcentral
UGGGUGAUCCGCGCAAUUGGAGGGGGUGAAUCGUGUCAGGUCCGAAAGGAAGCAGCACUAAACACCUGAAGAUGUGCGCGGAUCACUUAAAA